Non-coding RNA from Podarcis lilfordi (Lilford's wall lizard), 153 nucleotides. NCBI's taxonomy places the organism in Eukaryota, Metazoa, Chordata, Lepidosauria, Squamata, Lacertidae. The record is from the annotation of a GenBank genome assembly.
GCCUGCCUGCAGAACUUUCCCUGCUAAAAUGACAUCUCCUUCCAUUUUCUUCAGCUUAUGGUUAACUGUGUCUAUUAUUUCAUAUCUUGCAGAACUAUAAUUUGAAGGAAACGGAAGGAGCUGACAUUUUGGCAGGGAAUGUUCUGCAGGCUU